Molecule: small RNA, 125 nt
Filed under: Marmota monax (woodchuck)
Lineage: Eukaryota; Metazoa; Chordata; Mammalia; Rodentia; Sciuridae
Source: RNAcentral
GCUGGGUGCGGUGGUGCAGGCCUGUAAUCCCAGUGGCUCAGGAGGCCGAGACAGGAGGAUCACAAGUUCAAAGCCAGCCUCAACCAAGGUGAGGCCCUAAUCAAUUCAGUGAGACCCUGUCUCUA